CCCUUAGAUGUACUGGGCCGCACACGCGCUACACUGAAGGAGGCAGCGUGUACUCCUGGAUCGAAAGAUUUGGGUAACCCGCGAAUCUCCUUCGUGCUAGGGAUUGAGGUUUGCAAUUAUCCUUCAUGAACGAGGAAUUCCCAGUAAGUGCAAGUCAUAAGCUUGCGCUGACUACGUCCCUGCCCUUUGUACACACCGCCCGUCGCUACUACCGAUUGAAUGAUUUAGUGAGGACUUCGGACUGGGACCGAUGCGGCUUUCGGGCUGCGUCGGUAUUCUGGAAAGAUGUCCAAACUGUAUCAUUUAGAGGAAGUAAAAGUCGUAACA
This 327-nucleotide ribosomal RNA is filed under the name uncultured eukaryote. Its description in RNAcentral is "partial 18S ribosomal RNA". It matches the Rfam family "Eukaryotic small subunit ribosomal RNA", at positions 1470 to 1796 of the family's 1831-position model. The record is from RNAcentral.